This is an RNA transcript of Homo sapiens (human), 1942 nucleotides long. It is a transcript of the gene named eukaryotic translation initiation factor 3 subunit D, with no coding region annotated. The record is from RefSeq and is marked reviewed. NCBI's taxonomy places the organism in Eukaryota, Metazoa, Chordata, Mammalia, Primates, Hominidae. The transcript is spliced from 15 exons.
CUCUUUUCCUGGUUUCUCAAGAGUGCUGCUGCUAACGCGGUCCCCGGCACGCACCAUCUGUUGCCAUCCCGGCCGGCCGAGGCCAUUGCAGAUUUUGGAAGAUGGCAAAGUUCAUGACACCCGUGAUCCAGGACAACCCCUCAGGCUGGGGUCCCUGUGCGGUUCCCGAGCAGUUUCGGGAUAUGCCCUACCAGCCGUUCAGCAAAGGAGAUCGGCUAGGAAAGGUUGCAGACUGGACAGGAGCCACAUACCAAGAUAAGAGGUACACAAAUAAGUACUCCUCUCAGUUUGGUGGUGGAAGUCAAUAUGCUUAUUUCCAUGAGGAGGAUGAAAGUAGCUUCCAGCUGGUGGAUACAGCGCGCACACAGAAGACGGCCUACCAGCGGAAUCGAAUGAGAUUUGCCCAGAGGAACCUCCGCAGAGACAAAGAUCGUCGGAACAUGUUGCAGUUCAACCUGCAGAUCCUGCCUAAGAGUGCCAAACAGAAAGAGAGAGAACGCAUUCGACUGCAGAAAAAGUUCCAGAAACAAUUUGGGGUUAGGCAGAAAUGGGAUCAGAAAUCACAGAAACCCCGAGACUCUUCAGUUGAAGUUCGUAGUGAUUGGGAAGUGAAAGAGGAAAUGGAUUUUCCUCAGUUGAUGAAGAUGCGCUACUUGGAAGUAUCAGAGCCACAGGACAUUGAGUGUUGUGGGGCCCUAGAAUACUACGACAAAGCCUUUGACCGCAUCACCACGAGGAGUGAGAAGCCACUGCGGAGCAUCAAGCGCAUCUUCCACACUGUCACCACCACAGACGACCCUGUCAUCCGCAAGCUGGCAAAAACUCAGGGGAAUGUGUUUGCCACUGAUGCCAUCCUGGCCACGCUGAUGAGCUGUACCCGCUCAGUGUAUUCCUGGGAUAUUGUCGUCCAGAGAGUUGGGUCCAAACUCUUCUUUGACAAGAGAGACAACUCUGACUUUGCGCUGCGCACAUUGUCAGUGACUCUUUGUUGCAUGGUGAGUGACCAUGCCACGCUUUUGCAGACCUCCUGACAGUGAGUGAGACUGCCAAUGAGCCCCCUCAAGAUGAAGGUAAUUCCUUCAAUUCACCCCGCAACCUGGCCAUGGAGGCAACCUACAUCAACCACAAUUUCUCCCAGCAGUGCUUGAGAAUGGGGAAGGAAAGAUACAACUUCCCCAACCCAAACCCGUUUGUGGAGGACGACAUGGAUAAGAAUGAAAUCGCCUCUGUUGCGUACCGUUACCGCAGGUGGAAGCUUGGAGAUGAUAUUGACCUUAUUGUCCGUUGUGAGCACGAUGGCGUCAUGACUGGAGCCAACGGGGAAGUGUCCUUCAUCAACAUCAAGACACUCAAUGAGUGGGAUUCCAGGCACUGUAAUGGCGUUGACUGGCGUCAGAAGCUGGACUCUCAGCGAGGGGCUGUCAUUGCCACGGAGCUGAAGAACAACAGCUACAAGUUGGCCCGGUGGACCUGCUGUGCUUUGCUGGCUGGAUCUGAGUACCUCAAGCUUGGUUAUGUGUCUCGGUACCACGUGAAAGACUCCUCACGCCACGUCAUCCUAGGCACCCAGCAGUUCAAGCCUAAUGAGUUUGCCAGCCAGAUCAACCUGAGCGUGGAGAAUGCCUGGGGCAUUUUACGCUGCGUCAUUGACAUCUGCAUGAAGCUGGAGGAGGGCAAAUACCUCAUCCUCAAGGACCCCAACAAGCAGGUCAUCCGUGUCUACAGCCUCCCUGAUGGCACCUUCAGCUCUGAUGAAGAUGAGGAGGAAGAGGAGGAGGAAGAAGAGGAAGAAGAAGAGGAAGAAACUUAAACCAGUGAUGUGGAGCUGGAGUUUGUCCUUCCACCGAGACUACGAGGGCCUUUGAUGCUUAGUGGAAUGUGUGUCUAACUUGCUCUCUGACAUUUAGCAGAUGAAAUAAAAUAUAUAUCUGUUUAGUCUUUC